Molecule: unclassified non-coding RNA, 662 nt
Filed under: Hevea brasiliensis (rubber tree)
Lineage: Eukaryota; Viridiplantae; Streptophyta; Magnoliopsida; Malpighiales; Euphorbiaceae
Source: RNAcentral
ACUUGGUCAGUUUUACCCAUAUGCUUCUUCAAACUUCUUUCCAAUGGCAAUGCUAUAGUCUAAACGGCAUAAAAUCUUAUACUAGACGAGAUCGAUGCAACUGACACUUGCAUGGGAAGUUUCAUGCCAGCUUCACCAAAGUGUGGGAUACGCGUCUCUCCAAGAAAAUGACUAAAUCAAUGGAUCCCUGAACAAGUCCCCAGUUCCCACUCAAAAGCUGAAAACGCUCCCCAUAUGCCUCCACGAUUGCAUAUAAGAGAAAUUUCCCCGCCACUUGUCACUUCCUGUCAUUAUAUAUGCAUAUAUUUCUUGUCGUUAAUUAGUGAAAUUUGUAAAUUUGGCUCAGGAAAAGGUUGAGCAGUGAACUGACACCAUUCAGCAGAAAGCACUCAGAUGCUGCCAGUGACAAAACAGCAAGUGGAGCUGAUUUGGCACAACAAUCUGCCCAACAAAACAAGGGGGAAUGAAGCCGCAUGUUUUCUUCAGCUGGUUCUCUCAUACAAUUUCCCCUGAUUUGUCUUUUCGUUUUGGACGAUUUAUAUCUGUUAAUUACAAGGCCUGUAAAAACGUAAUAUAUUUGUUUAAUUGCUUUCGAAAUGAUAUAUAUUGUUUAUGGAUUGAGACAUUAGUGAAAUGCAUGGUUGCUUGCUAGCUACAGAGAG